GGGUCAGUAGGUUGGUCGUGCCACCGGUACGUACUGGUCUCACUGAUUCCUCCUUCCUGAAGAACCGUAAUGCCAUUAGUUUGGUGUUGCGGGGAAACAGGACUGUUACUUUGAAAAAAUUAGAGUGUUUAAAGCAAGCUAACGCUUGAAUACAUUAGCAUGGAAUAGUGAAAUAGGACGAUCGAUCCUAUUUUGUUGGUUUCUAGGAUUGACGUA
RNAcentral lists this ribosomal RNA (216 nucleotides) under Glomeromycotina sp. RNAcentral describes it as "partial small subunit ribosomal RNA". The stretch from base 40 to 216 matches the Rfam family "Eukaryotic small subunit ribosomal RNA", at positions 686 to 864 of the family's 1831-position model. The record is from RNAcentral. Lineage: Eukaryota; Fungi; Glomeromycota.